AAUGCCUUGGGGUUCCCCCGGAGGAGCUGGGGGAGGUCACAGGUUGUGAACACUGAGUUUUCUGGCGCUGAUGAGCUGUUGAACCAGGGUUUAUAUGGAGACAGGUUGAUUGCAGGCAGGUGUGCUCAUCAGCUCCACAAGGGAUGCCACCUGGAAAGAGAGAGA
Long non-coding RNA from Thalassophryne amazonica, 165 nucleotides. RefSeq lists it as uncharacterized. Lineage: Eukaryota; Metazoa; Chordata; Actinopteri; Batrachoidiformes; Batrachoididae. The record is from RefSeq and is a predicted model, not a curated record. The transcript has 3 exons.